GAUGAACGCUAGCGGCAGGCUUAACACAUGCAAGUCGAGGGGCAGCAUGGACUAGCAAUAGUCUGAUGGCGACCGGCAAACGGGUGCGGAACACGUACAGAAUCUACCUUUAUCUGGGGCAUAGCCCGAAGAAAUUCGGAUUAAUACCCCAUAAUAUAUUUAAGUGGCAUCACUUUGAAUAUUAAAACUCCGGUGGAUAG
This 200-nucleotide ribosomal RNA is filed under the name uncultured bacterium. Its description in RNAcentral is "partial 16S ribosomal RNA". It matches the Rfam family "Bacterial small subunit ribosomal RNA", at positions 28 to 222 of the family's 1533-position model. The record is from RNAcentral.